Oreochromis niloticus (Nile tilapia) is the source of this 1703-nucleotide long non-coding RNA. RefSeq lists it as uncharacterized. NCBI's taxonomy places the organism in Eukaryota, Metazoa, Chordata, Actinopteri, Cichliformes, Cichlidae. The transcript is spliced from 3 exons. The record is from RefSeq and is a predicted model, not a curated record.
GCCAAACACAUGGCUAUGUAAGCUAUGUAUGAAGUUCAAAGAAAUGUCUGUAGCCAUCUGAAGCAGGAUUGUUUCGAGGCACAGGUCUGGAGAAGGGUACAGAAACAUUUCUGCAGCAUUGAAGGUCCCAGUGGGCACAGUGGCCUCCAUCAUCCGUUAAAUGGAAGAAGUUUGAAACUUCCAGGUCUCUUCAUAGAUCCUGGACUUAUGCACCCCCAUUCUGGACUCCAAAUGCCUUUGAAAGCUUAUCUCCAAGGUCGAGGUCAGACGGCGGGUCUAGGCCCAGCGCUGGAUUAAGCACUGGGCAAGAUGGCUCUGUCUACAUCGGCUCACUUCUCACCCCCUUACUUGUCAUGUGCUUCUUGGAUUUGUGAUGUCAAGAUGUAUGUGCUCUCUGUGCACAUACAUGGCUGGUUGUUGCUCCUCCAAAUGCGUCCCACAAUCGCAUCCACCUUUCCCUGGAUUUGAAAGACAGUUGGGCGGUGUAUCCUUCAUGGCCCACCUUAUCCCAGGAUUCAUUGCGGGCUAAACAGGAGAAUUUUGUUUUUAUAACAAUGGUGGACAAGGCAGGAGAGCAGUACACUUUUAGAUGGACCAAAGAGCAGACAGCUCUAUUCAUACGAAUAAGAGGUGAAAAUGAUCACCUCUUUACCAGGGUCAAGAAUCGGCCACUGUGGCACUGAGGACAAUUCUGAAGAAGAUGGCCUGCAGGGAAAAGUCACUGCCUUGCCACCCGCAACCCCUCCCAAAAACAAAAAACAAAAACAAAACAAUCCAUAUGGAUGGUCAUAUAUACCUCAUGGGUGAGGUGAUAGGAAAGAGGCCCGUUUCUGUGCUGAGUCAUAUGUUGCUCAGUGUCCAUCACUCCCUCCUUUAAAAUCCCACUUUAUUACACGAAGCUGAUGGUUGGUGUCGGGGGGGAAAUGUCGGCUUGUGAUUGAUUGAUUUACAGAAACACAGGGGUAUGAGAACUGUUGGAAGGCUUCUUUUUUUUAAUUAAAGUAAUUUUAUUAUUGUAGGCUACAUGGAUUUUUUAGGAGCUGAAAAAAAUUUUUUGGCAAAGAUCUUUAAUCUUGUCAAACCGUGUGAUACACUUUAGCAGACAGAUAAAUAACAAAUCUGUGGAUGCAAUAUGUGGAACACAGAAAGUGGAAUAUGUAAACAAAUCUAACCAGUUAACCAGACACACUGGUUAUACUUCGCUUAUUUCAGCAUGACGUUACUAUGACGUCCACUUCAAAUUGGUCUAUUGACCUGUGUGUUAUUCAGUUGUUGUUUUUUCUAUUAUUGUGAUCUUUCACUGAACUGGUCUUGUUCUUUGAUGAUUUGACUAUUAUUUUACUAUCUUAGAUGUGAUGAGGACUGUUCUUUCCCUUGCCAGAUUACAAGAAAAAAAAUACCAUCACAAUUUGGAGGUUUUAGUGAUCUUGUAAUGAUGGAUCCAAGCCUACCUUUUUCUCCCCUUUCCUGGAAAAUAUUCAGACAGUAGGCAAGGGUUAAGACUUCAACCCAACUGAACAUCGCUGGAGAGAUCUGAAAAUGGCAGUUUGAUAGCUUGAGAGGUUCUGCAAAGAAGAAUGGGAGAAACUGCUGAAAAAUGGGUGUGCUAAGCUUGUGGCAUUAUACUCAAAAUUAUACUCAAAAUGACCUGACUGUACUUGCUGCCAAAGGUUUUUCAAGAAAGUAUUGAGCAAAGGCUGUGA